Molecule: long non-coding RNA, 412 nt
Filed under: Homo sapiens (human)
Lineage: Eukaryota; Metazoa; Chordata; Mammalia; Primates; Hominidae
Description: non-protein coding lnc-RPS6-1:1
Source: RNAcentral
GAGUGAGGUUUCGUCUCAAAAAAAAAAAAAAAAGAAAAGAAAGUUUUCAAUUUUGAAAUUUCUACUGCUAUCAGCUUUUUAUACUGAAUAUUGUUUAUUUUUGCCUUCUCUUCUUUAUAAAUCAGUUUAUGUCAUUAUUACUGUUAUAUACAAUAUAUGUUUUACAUAAGACAAUAAAUGUCUUUUCUCUCUAGUUGUUUUGUCUCCGGUGUUCCAUGAUAGCACCAUGAUAUAAUAAGAGGCGGGAUAGGCCAGGCAUGGUGCCUCAUACCUGUAUAAUCCAGGACUUUGGGAGGCUGAGGCAGGCGUGAGCCACCGCACCUGGCCUUAUCUCUGCUGUUUAACCCAUUCACUGAAUUUUUAAUUUUAAGGACCAUAUUUUUCAUUUCUAAACACUUGAUUCUUUUCCCAA